AGCGGAGGAAAAGAAACUAACAAGGAUUCCCCUAGUAACUGCGAGUGAAGCGGGAAAAGCUCAAAUUUAAAAUCUGGCAGUCUUUGGCUGUCCGAGUUGUAAACUAGAGAAGUGUUAUCCGCGCUGGACCGUGUAAAAGUCUCCUGGAAUGGAGCAUCAUAGAGGGUGAGAAUCCCGUCUUUGACAUGGACUACCAGUGCUUUGUGAUGCGCUCUCAAAGAGUCGAGUUGUUUGGGAAUGCAGCUCAAAAUGGGUGGUAAAUUCCAUCUAAAGCUAAAUAUUGGCGAGAGACCGAUAGCGAACAAGUACCGUGAGGGAAAGAUGAAAAGAACUUUGGAAAGAGAGUUAAACAGUACGUGAAAUUGCUGAAAGGGAAACGCUUGAAGUCAGUCGCGUUGGCCAGGAAUCAACCUUGCUUUUGCUGGGCGUACUUUCUGGUUGACGGGUCAGCAUCAAUUUUGACUGUUGGAAAAAGUUCAAGGGAAUGUGGCAUCUUCGGAUGUGUUAUAGCCCUCGUUCGCAUACAGCAGUUGGGAUUGAGGAACUCAGCACGCCGCAAGGCCGGGUUUCGACCACGUUCGUGCUUAGGAUGCUGGCAUAAUGGCUUUAAUCGACCCGUCUUGAAACACGGACCAAGGAGUCUAACAUGCCUGCGAGUGUUUGGGUGGAAAACCCAAGCGCGCAAUGAAAGUGAAAGUUGAGAUCCCUGUCGUGGGGAGCAUUGACGCCCGGACCAGACCUUUUGUGACGGAUCCGCGGUAGAGCAUGCAUGUUGGGACCCGAAAGAUGGUGAACUAUGCCUGAAUAGGGUGAAGCCAGAGGAAACUCUGGUGGAGGCUCGUAGCGAUUCUGACGUGCAAAUCGAUCGUCAAAUUUGGGUAUAGGGGCGAAAGACUAAUCGAACCAUCUAGUAGC
Molecule: ribosomal RNA, 915 nt
Filed under: Bolbitius reticulatus
Lineage: Eukaryota; Fungi; Basidiomycota; Agaricomycetes; Agaricales; Bolbitiaceae
Description: partial large subunit ribosomal RNA
Rfam family: Eukaryotic large subunit ribosomal RNA
Source: RNAcentral